GCGCUGGAAGUGCUGCUUGGUGGCACACCGCCCUACCGGGGCGGAGGCCCAGGUUCAAAUCCUGGCCGGCGCUCGA
This is a transfer RNA of 76 nucleotides. It matches the Rfam family "tRNA". From Rfam's summary of the family: Transfer RNA (tRNA) molecules are approximately 80 nucleotides in length. Their secondary structure includes four short double-helical elements and three loops (D, anti-codon, and T loops).